GGAAAGAGAGACAAAGAGGAGAGAGAGAAAUCGCCUUGGCAAGGCAAGAGCAAGAGAGGCCUCUCUCUGCUCGAUAGAUUUCAGUUCGAGACGUUCUCGAUCAAGCUUCACAGAAAUUGAGUGGAACUUUGAAGAAAAUGGGAAGUGCUGGUGGUGAAGAAGUUAUGAUUUCUGGGAGCAAUGAUGUUGAAAUAAAGAUAAAGACACUGGAUUCGCAAACAUACAUAUUGCGAGUAGAUAAAUGUGUGCCUGUACCUGCAUUAAAGGAGCAAAUUGCUUCUGUUACUGGUGUAUUGUGUGAACAACAGCGGCUUAUAUGCCGCGGUAAAGUUUUGAAGGAUGAUCAGCUCCUCUCAGCUUAUCAUGUGGAAGAUGGUCACACUCUGCAUAUGGUUGUUAGACAACCAAUUCCGCCAUCACUGGAGAGCUCUCCUGAUCAUCCUGUAACUGAUCCAGCAUCAAGUACUGGCCGUCAGGGCAAUCAAGCAGGUCCAAGCGUAGUUGUUGGAACCUUCAAUAUAUCUGAACAAGGUGAUGGAGUUCUUCCAGAUCUCAGUCGGAUUGUCUCAGCUGUUCUUGGUUCUUUUGGAAUCACAAAUAUUGGAAGUGGCAAUGAAGGGGCUGAUGUCAGGGAUGCUGCUCCAGAAAGGCUUUCAAGAACACCUGUUAGUGGCUUAAGAAAUUCUAGCGGGCAGCAAACUGACCAAGCUGCCUCAAGGGGUCAAUCUAAUCUUCACAAUGGUACUUCUCUAUUUCCAACUUCUAUUCCUUUGGAAGCUCUGCGUCCAUCUGUGAUUCCUGAUUCUUUGACGACUUUGUCGCAGUAUUUGAUGCGUAUGAGGCAUGAAUUUAGUGGAAAUGUCAGAAGCCAGAGUAAUAAUUCUCAAGCUGCUGGCACUCUUGGGAGUGACGGACAGGAGUCUGAAGCUGCCACACGUUCAGCUGCUGGAGAGGCAGGGCUCCCAACACCAGCAUCCUUGGCAGAAGUGAUGCUGUCUACAAGGCAAAUACUAACUGACCAAGCAGCAGAUUGCCUGUCUCAACUUGCAAGACAACUACAGGAUCAAGCAAAUUUGACUGAUCCUUUGGCAAGGAUGGGUGUUCAAUCCAAUGCUUCGAGAUCUGGAGCUCUUUUGCAAAACUUAGGUACUCUGCUGCUUGAGCUUGGCCGCACAACCAUGACAUUGAGAAUGGGCCAAACACCGGCUGAUGCUGUGGUCAAUGCUGGUCCUGCUGUGUUUAUAUCCACAUCUGGUCCCAAUCCUAUAAUGGUCCAGCCACUUCCUUUUCAACCUGGGACAAGUUUUGGGGCAAUACCUGUGGGAACUGUACAACCUGACUCUGGAUUGCCUGGAGGAUCUCUUGGUUCUGGUUUUGUUCCAAGAAAUAUUGACAUCAGGAUACGCACAGGCUCAUUGAUGCCCUCACCCGCUGUUAACCAAAUGGAACAAGUUGGUGUACAGCAGUCUCCAGUGCAAAACAACCCAUCAACUUCCGUUGAUGGAAUUUCCAUUCAUCAAGCCACUAGAGGACUGUCUGGAAGCCCAUCUUUGACCAGGGAAUCUGAAGUACGGGUGGUUCCUAUCAGGACUGUGGUUACAGCAGUACCUGCUUCUGUCAGGAGCUCCCCUUCUGAUUCAUCUCGUGGUUCAGUGGGAUUAUUCUAUCCAGUUCUUGCAAGAGUUCAACAUGUAGCUUCUGGAAAUUUGAAUAAUCCAAGGGAUUCUCAAGCAUUUGACGAGCGUCGCUCUGAUCAUUUUGAGUCUGGGCAACAGCCUAAUCCUGAUUCUGCAUUACCACAGCAAGACAUUGGACUUCCUGGAGCAGAUGCCAACUCUUAUUCAGGUAAUGGGACACAAAAUGGUGAAGGAUUUUCUACACAGUUUCAGAGUGGGCUAGAUCAGUUGCUGAGGUCUAUAUUUCCUGGAGACCAGAUUUAUGUUGGUGAUGUCAACUUCCAGGGAUCGGGUACAAGUUCUGCAGCAGGUCGUGAGGGUACAAGUCAGGGUGCUGCCCCUACUCAGGAGUCUGCACCAAGAGUGGGUGAUGAAGGACUUUUCUUGUCUAAUUUACUACACCAGAUCAUGCCCAUUAUAUCUGAAAACACAGCAAGUGGGUCAGGCAUGGCAUCACCAGGUGAUGCUAUUGAUAGAGCUACACAAACAUCAUCGACUCAGGCUCAGGAGAACUCAAGUAGACAGACCUUGUCUCGUCAGCGUGGAAACCCACCAUCCUCGCCGAGCUCCAAACGUCAAAGGCUCUGAUGAUAACGCUACUGAUAUCAAAGGGCCAGAUGAGCAGACCCUUCUAUGAGAGUAUAUCCAAGUGAGCAACAGGCCCCAUUAGGAGUCUAUACCGCUGAGUACGAAUAUCACAAGGCUAGAGAUGGAACAGAUAAUAAUAGGGAGUGAUUUAUCUCAAGGUGCACAAUAAUUUCCCCCAACACAAGACAAAUGCAUUUUGAGGAAUGCAUUGAGGCUUCCGAUCAAGUGUUGUUGAGAUCUUUACUGCAGGUUCAGAAUUUUUAAAGUUCUGAAGGCUGCUAUGGUUGUUGACAUGUGAAAUAGAUACUAGAUAAGGAACUCUAGACAGAAUGUAUUGUACUUUUUCUUCUUUAGUACGGUAUUCUUUUGCGUUAGUUUACAUAAAUUUGUGAUCAUCUUAUUAAAUCUAUUUGUUACAGUUUGUGUAUGAUCCGAGCACAUUGGAACCUUUCUGUUAUAUACUUUGCCUGAUGUUCGAGUAA
This is an RNA transcript of Camellia sinensis, 2746 nucleotides long. It is a transcript of the gene named ubiquitin-like domain-containing protein CIP73, with no coding region annotated. Lineage: Eukaryota; Viridiplantae; Streptophyta; Magnoliopsida; Ericales; Theaceae. The record is from RefSeq and is a predicted model, not a curated record.